RNAcentral lists this ribosomal RNA (468 nucleotides) under uncultured bacterium. RNAcentral's name for it is "partial 16S ribosomal RNA". It matches the Rfam family "Bacterial small subunit ribosomal RNA", at positions 28 to 507 of the family's 1533-position model. The record is from RNAcentral.
GACGAACGCUGGCGGCGUGCUUAACACAUGCAAGUCGAACGGAAAGGCCCUGCUUUUGUGGGGUGCUCGAGUGGCGAACGGGUGAGUAACACGUGAGUAACCUGCCCUUGACUUUGGGAUAACUUCAGGAAACUGGGGCUAAUACCGGAUAGGAGCUCCUGCUGCAUGGUGGGGGUUGGAAAGUUUCGGCGGUUGGGGAUGGACUCGCGGCUUAUCAGCUUGUUGGUGGGGUAGUGGCUUACCAAGGCUUUGACGGGUAGCCGGCCUGAGAGGGUGACCGGCCACCUUGGGCCUGAGAUACGGCCCAGACUCCUACGGGAGGCAGAAGUGGGGAAUAUUGCACAAUGGGCGGAAGCCUGAUGCAGCAACGCCGCGUGCGGGAUGACGGCCUUCGGGUUGUAAACCGCUUUCGCCUGUGACGAAGCGUGAGUGACGGUAAUGGGUAAAGAAGCACCGGCUAACUACGUG